Molecule: ribosomal RNA, 254 nt
Filed under: uncultured bacterium
Lineage: Bacteria
Description: partial 16S ribosomal RNA
Rfam family: Bacterial small subunit ribosomal RNA
Source: RNAcentral
UACGGGGGGAGCAAGCGUUGUUCGGAUUUACUGGGCGUAAAGGGCGCGUAGGCGGCCACUGCAAGUCAGUUGUGAAAUCUCCGGGCUUAACCCGGAAAGGUCAACUGAUACUGCAGGGCUAGAGUGCAGAAGGGGCAACUGGGAUUCUCGGUGUAGCGGUGAAAUGCGUAGAUAUCGAGAGGAACACCUGCGGCGAAGGCGGGUUGCUGGGCUGACACUGACGCUGAUGUGCGAAAGCUAGGGGAGCGAACGGG